GCCAACGGCCAUACCACGUUGAACACACCAGUUCUCGUCCGAUCACUAAAGAUAAGAAACGUCGGGCCCGGUUAGUACUUGGAUGGGUGACCGCCUGGGAACCCCGGGUGCUGGUAUAC
RNAcentral lists this ribosomal RNA (119 nucleotides) under Orchesella cincta. Lineage: Eukaryota; Metazoa; Arthropoda; Collembola; Entomobryomorpha; Orchesellidae. The record is from RNAcentral.